GCGCCGGUGGUACAACGGCUCAGCGCAUGCUCCCGGAAGGAGUAAGAUCUGGGUUCCAAUCCCGGCUGACGCG
This is a non-coding RNA of Parelaphostrongylus tenuis, 73 nucleotides long. The record is from the annotation of a GenBank genome assembly. Lineage: Eukaryota; Metazoa; Nematoda; Chromadorea; Rhabditida; Metastrongylidae.